This 161-nucleotide ribosomal RNA is filed under the name uncultured bacterium. RNAcentral's name for it is "partial 16S rRNA". It matches the Rfam family "Bacterial small subunit ribosomal RNA", at positions 358 to 511 of the family's 1533-position model. The record is from RNAcentral.
GGAAUCUUCCACAAUGGACGCAAGUCUGAUGGAGCAACGCCGCGUGAGUGAAGAAGGGUUUCGGCUCGUAAAGCUCUGUUGUUAAAGGAGAACGUGGGUAAGAGUAACUGUUUACCCAGUGACGGUAUUUAACCAGAAAGCCACGGCUAACUACGUGCAAG